Molecule: long non-coding RNA, 322 nt
Filed under: Pan troglodytes (chimpanzee)
Lineage: Eukaryota; Metazoa; Chordata; Mammalia; Primates; Hominidae
Description: long non-coding RNA NONPTRT011019
Source: RNAcentral
GGGAUUGCGGGCGCGUCAGGUGGGGACGAUGGGCCACGGGCGAGUCAGGAGAACUAUGCCAUUUUUGGGUCAGGACUGGAGAUCUCCUGGAUGGAGUUGGAUUAAGACAGAAGAUGGCUGGAAGAGUUGUGAAUCUUGUAGUCAGAAACUUGAAAGAGAGAAUAACCAUUGUAACAUCAGUCACAGCAUGAGCUUCGGGUCCACCUGUUUGGAAGCACCCAGGCGGCUUGGAGAGGUCCGGCCUUCGGGUGCGACCCGCAGGGGUUGCCUUGCCCGGCUCGCGGAACGGACGUUUACCUGUCGCAGCUACGAACCCACCAAC